RNAcentral lists this non-coding RNA (249 nucleotides) under Romboutsia lituseburensis. RNAcentral describes it as "T-box". It matches the Rfam family "T-box leader". From Rfam's summary of the family: Uncharged tRNA acts as the effector for transcription antitermination of genes in the T-box leader family. The record is from RNAcentral. Lineage: Bacteria; Bacillati; Bacillota; Clostridia; Peptostreptococcales; Peptostreptococcaceae.
AUAAAUCCUUUGAUAAGGGAUAGUAGCUAAAUGUAGGUUCAAAAUAGAGAGCUGAGGGUGGUGGAAUCUUAGCAAGAAAAAGUUUAGUGAAUGGGCCUUUGAGGAGCAAAUCGAAAUUUCUUAAAGUAGACUUUGCCGUGUAUCGCACGUUAUAGCGAAUAGGGUAUGAUAGUACCUGAAAAUGAGUGAUGUAUAGCUAUUUUGUUAUACAUAAUUUAGGUGGCAACGCGGAUAAUCUCCGUCCUAUUU